RNAcentral lists this long non-coding RNA (455 nucleotides) under Homo sapiens (human). Its description in RNAcentral is "non-protein coding lnc-ASB7-1:3". The record is from RNAcentral. Lineage: Eukaryota; Metazoa; Chordata; Mammalia; Primates; Hominidae.
CUCAAUGUGCACGUGCUGCUCCUGCCAGGCGGAUGACAUCAGGAAUGCUCAUCAACUUGAGGGCGAAGAAAUGCUUGGCGGUCUUCUCCUUCACCGGGUGCACCCGCCCGAACGUCCCAGUGCCCACGGUGGCCAGUGUGUCGAAGUCCUGCAGGCGCUGAUUCACAACUCAAGUAGCACAGUGAAGGUGGACAAUUUGGACUGCCUAAGCAUCCCAGCAUCGUCUGUUCUACAUAUCACUAUUCCAAAUGGCAUGCUGCUGUGUUUGUGAAUCCAGCCUCCCACAUUGGGAAGUGUAGAGAGCUGUUGAGCCCUGUUUCCAAAUCCCCAGGUGAAGCUGCGCUGACAUGCCUUCUGUCCAUACAGCCCUUUCCAAGACUCAGCUAUUUGUGAUCACCCCCAAAUGUUACCCUGAUUCUAUUACCAAUUUGUAAUAAAACUCACUUGUAUGGUGG